Molecule: non-coding RNA, 3787 nt
Organism: Tetranychus urticae (two-spotted spider mite)
Lineage: Eukaryota; Metazoa; Arthropoda; Arachnida; Trombidiformes; Tetranychidae
Source: RefSeq, a predicted model, not a curated record
AUGAUGAACACUUAUGCACAGUUUGCGUAAAUCCGGGUUCUUCACUAAAUCUCAAUUGAUUUCUUCAUCUGGUUAUUGAUCACGAUAUUAUUUAGACUCAAAAUUUCACCUUUGAUUAACAGCUCUUUCAUUGAAGUUUCACUUUUGUGUAUGAAAGUGAUUAAUCUCCUACUUUUAUUCAGUAAUUUUAUUGACGGUUUGGGUUAAAUAAUGGAACCUUUGUUUAACUUAUACUUGAAUUCAAUUUUGGUUGGCCGUUUACAUGUUUCUAUUGUUGGAUUUAUUAAUCGAUCAACUUUGAUGUGUUUAGCCAGGUUGAUUUGGAAGACAUUAAUUGUAAAUGAAAUGAUUUAAUGUUGUUAUGGAUAAAGCAAAAACAGAUAAAAUAAGAACCUAAAUAAGAGUUGAAAGAUACUAACACUUUUAGUUGACACACUGACGUAAUUGUUGAAAGAUUAUAAAUUGUCAUUUGAGAAAGAGUUUCUUUACAGAGACUCCAUCUUGCUUGGAUUUUUCCCUCUCUUUUUGUUUUUAUUCAACGUUUGCUCGUUUAAUAGCCAUUUUUAUCCAGUUUAUUUUUUCAACCUAAUUUAGUUAUUUCAUUAUUUUAUUGAUACGUUUUAUUUUAUUAUUGUACUUCAAUACAUGGUAACAUGAAGGACCUAACUAACUGUGAAAGUGACCUGAACAGCAAAAAACCAGGAAUUGGAGCUGGAUCGCUGUCUAUUUUACCUGCUUAUUUUGAAUUAUCUGUUUUUUGGUGACUUCGUGAUCAAGCAACCCAAUGAGAUUUUCCUGUUUAAUCAAUGUCAAUCCUGGGGCGAAUUGGUUCCAUUUAUCGACAUCGUCGUCUAAUCUUAAGUAUGACGAUUCGUACUAUGAUGGCGUUUUUCUGUGCCUACCAGUUGCGCUCAAUAACGGAAACUUAUAUACGUGGAGAAACAAUAUCCAAAGUUAAUCUUUCUUUUCCUGAAUUUCUGACCCUUCCGAGUGUUACAUUGUGUUUUGAUUUUAUUGAUACUCUCAAUGUUACUCGUUUGUCAGGUGAUUACCCUUACAUUCUUAAAACUUUACAAAGUCGAGAUCUCAUUGAUGAUUAUGUCACUCGUCAUUCCCAUCUUCCAGAGCUAUACUACCUUCUGGGUAAUCAUAGCUUAGCCUCGAUGAAAGGCUAUAUGAAUGAUAAUAUUGAUUUUUUGUUGGCUAAAAUAACACCCACCCAAUUAGAACCUGAUGAUGGUUUAAAGGUAAAUUGUAAUGUUACACGCUACCUGAUUGAACCCAAUUUCUGUCAUACAAUAACCUGUUAUCAUGUUGAUAGUGAUGAACCAGCUAAAUAUCCUCGAAGUACGAUAUUUGAGCCUCGUUAUGGUGGAAGAAUGUUGAUAAUUGAAUUAGAAAGCUGGGUUGGAAAUCUGACAAAAUCCAUGUCGAUACACUUUACUGUUCAAUCAUCAUUACUCUAUAGUACCCGAACUUCAAGCUAUCUAAUUGACCUGACACAUCCACCAACCACAUUCACUGUUUCAUAUUCGAUGAUUCGCAAUGAUUUAGAUUCUAUUGCAUCUGAAACAAAAUGUCUGCCCUCUGGUUCAUUUAGAGAAGGGACUGGUAAUAGGAAUCAACGAUUUUAUUGGUGUAUCAAUGAAUUGAUUCGUUCUUCAUUUGGAUGCUCAAGUUACGGGUCAGCUCAAGAUUUUGAUGAUCCAAAUAUGUUUCACCUUAAACUUGGUUAUCAUCAAUACUAUCGCGAAUUCUUAUCCUCAAACUUAACCCAACGAGAUAUCGAUCGAGCAAAAAUCAAAAAGAUUAGACAACAAUGUAUUAGUCAACUUAAAGCUCCUAACUGCAUUGAUGAAAUUUAUUCACCAAUCGGCGAUUCGUUCAGUGUGAAGGAUAAAUCUGAUUAUACCAUUAUAGUUGAUGCGCCGUCAGUUCCUUUUGAGAAUAAUGAAUUUUCCCUUGAAAUUGCUCUUCUUGAUUACCUUAUUUAUAUAAGUUCAUCCCUCAACUUUUGGUUUGGUAUUUCAAUUAUAUCAGUUGUUGAUCAUUUUAUCACAACUUUAUUCGAAUGGAUUGAUUCAAAGAAAUUGAAAAGUAAAGAAACAAAACCGCCAUCUCCGAGUCCACAAUUUAAAGCAAAGAUUGUCGUUCAACCAAUUCGUUCACGAGUUUUAACCAAAUUCAAUUCUCUCAAUAGAGAAAGGUUUUCUCAUUACUAUUCCAGAUACCACAGCAUUAAUCAGCAGUAAGCGCUGACUUGUUCUUUGCACAAAAUUGUAAUGUUUAUCUAGACUCCAACAUUAAGCUUGUAUAAACUGCUGCUUUGCUUCAUCUGAAUCCAUUCAAAGUCAAGCUAUUGAAUUAACAAAAAAUCUAAUUAGCAUGCAAAAUCAAUAAACUGCUUGGCAUUCAAUUUAUAAGUUAAAUUGGAAUCUAAUUUUUUUGAAUAAAAUUACUAAAAUUCUGAUGAAAAAUUUCAUAUUCUGUUAUUUAUUAGCAAUAUUUACAAAAUUGCCGAGAUUUGCAAUUGAUGGAUAAAAUUUUCUUUUAAAUUGCUAUAAAUUAAAUUAACGUCUUAAGAUUAGUCGUCUAGCCUCAGGUCUUAAAAGACCUUUGCUUUAUUUUCAAACCUGGUUGAAGCUUUUCCGUUUCCUCCUUUUCAGGUGACAAGGUUUACAUUUGCUCGAAACCAGAAGGCUUAAUGUUUUCCUUUGUGUUGUGUUUUAUUUUCCCUCUCUUUGUUACCUAUGUCAUUCUGAUAUUUUUUAUUCUUCAGUUCACAAAUUAUAUUCUAUUAAUGAUGAAGUUAUCUCUUUCUAAACUGUUUAAAAAGCGUACAUGGUUGCGUUCAAAACAAAAAGAAGCUAAAGUUACUUCUAAAACCAGUGGAAGUGAUAAGACAAACAAAGUGACAAUCAAAGUCCGGUUUACUGAUGGCGAUUAUAGUGAGAUUACAGCUGACACAACAAAUUAUCAGACUAUGUUUGACCAGCUGUCGAAAUUAACCGGUUUUGGCCUUGAGGACACUUAUGGGUGUCGUUUCAAUACUUUUGAAAGUCACAAAUAUAAUGGAUGUCUAUAUUUGUUCAACAAUCGCUUCGUUAAAAACAACGGCCAUGAAAUGUGGACCGGUUUCGAGGAUAAACAGCUGGGUAAAUAUGUGAACUUACAGGAUGGUACUCAAUUUACGUUGGGAGUUUAUUACGAUCUUCAUGAUCGAGUUAUUAUAAAAUAUCAUCUUGUCGAUGAAACUAUCCCCGAUGGAAAUGAUCUGAUCAAAAAGAAAUACUUUACGCACAAACAUUUACUCCAAGUGAAGGAAAUGAUAAAAAAUGAUUCGUCAAGUGAAUACAUAAAGAAUUGUCAAAACAGGGCUGUUUUGUACCUUGACUCACCCAUGAGAUACAAUUGACAACGCUCUUUUAUCAACUUGAAUCUAGUCAAUUAUACUCAUUUUUUCGACAAGAAUUUUUGUUUCUUUUGUUGCCGAAGAAUUAAAACCAAUUGAUAAUCUUUACAUCAAAGCUUUGCUCUUCCAUGAGAUUAUUGGUGUUGAUACAAAUACAGCUGUUAAUCCAGCCAAUCUGCAAAAAUAUGGAACUGCUCCCGGAUAUUUUCAAAAGGCUUAUUUCUUCAUUUUUCGGUUUCAUCUCUGGUUUUAAGCUCAAGCUUAACAAAUACUCUAUUGGAUUUAUUUAACUCGUGAUCUCUUUGUCUUCAUCAAAUUAAUUUUCAUAAUACUAUUUGGAGCUUCUCUCGAUUAAAACGCUCAUUGUGUGAUCAA